AGUGAACGCUGGCGGUAGGCCUAACACAUGCAAGUCGAACGGCAGCACAGUAAGAGCUUGCUCUUACGGGUGGCGAGUGGCGGACGGGUGAGGAAUACAUCGGAAUCUACUUUUUCGUGGGGGAUAACGUAGGGAAACUUACGCUAAUACCGCAUACGACCUACGGGUGAAAGCAGGGGAUCUUCGGACCUUGCGCGAUUGAAUGAGCCGAUGUCGGAUUAGCUAGUUGGCGGGGUAAAGGCCCACCAAGGCAACGAUCCGUAGCUGGUCUGAGAGGAUGAUCAGCCACACUGGAACUGAGACACGGUCCAGACUCCUACGGGAGGCAGCAGUGGGGAAUAUUGGACAAUGGGCGCAAGCCUGAUCCAGCCAUACCGCGUGAGUGAAGAAGGCCUUCGGGUUGUAAAGCCCUUUUGUCGGGAAAGAAAAGCAGCAGGUUAAUACCCCGCUGUUCUGACGGUACCCAAAGAAUAAGCACCGGCUAACUUCGUG
RNAcentral lists this ribosomal RNA (492 nucleotides) under uncultured bacterium. RNAcentral describes it as "partial 16S ribosomal RNA". It matches the Rfam family "Bacterial small subunit ribosomal RNA", at positions 29 to 507 of the family's 1533-position model. The record is from RNAcentral.